This 512-nucleotide ribosomal RNA is filed under the name uncultured Schizosaccharomyces. Its description in RNAcentral is "eukaryotic LSU rRNA". It matches the Rfam family "Eukaryotic large subunit ribosomal RNA", at positions 62 to 568 of the family's 3401-position model. The record is from RNAcentral. Lineage: Eukaryota; Fungi; Ascomycota; Schizosaccharomycetes.
AAAAUAACCAUGAUUCCCCUAGUAACGGCGAGUGAAGCGGGAAAAGCUCAAAUUUGAAAUCUGGUAGAGUUUUAUUCUUUGCCCGAGUUGUAAUUUCAAGAAGCUGCUUUGAGUAAUGAACGUCGGUCUAAGUUCCUUGGAACAGGACGUCAGAGAGGGUGAGAACCCCGUCUUUGGCCGAUGUGCUUUGCCAUAUAAAGCGCUUUCUAAGAGUCGAGUUGUUUGGGAAUGCAGCUCUAAAUGGGUGGUGAAUUUCAUCUAAAGCUAAAUAUUGGCGAGAGACCGAUAGCAAACAAGUAGAGUGAUCGAAAGAUGAAAAGAACUUUGAAAAGAGAGUUAAAUAGUACGUGAAAUUGCUGAAGGGGAAGCAUUGGAAACCAGUCUUACCUUGGUGAGAUCAGCUGUUUACUGUAGACAGUGCACUCUGAACCUAGGUAGGUCAGCAUCAGUUUUCGGGACGAAAAGAUAGGGAUAUGGCUUUGGGCUUGCUCAGAAGUGUUAUAGCCCUUAUU